RNAcentral lists this ribosomal RNA (2880 nucleotides) under Burkholderia cenocepacia. RNAcentral's name for it is "ribosomal RNA 23s ribosomal RNA". It matches the Rfam family "Bacterial large subunit ribosomal RNA". The record is from RNAcentral. Lineage: Bacteria; Pseudomonadati; Pseudomonadota; Betaproteobacteria; Burkholderiales; Burkholderiaceae.
UCAAGCGAACAAGUGCAUGUGGUGGAUGCCUUGGCGAUCACAGGCGAUGAAGGACGCGGUAGCCUGCGAAAAGCUACGGGGAGCUGGCAAACGAGCUUUGAUCCGUAGAUGUCCGAAUGGGGAAACCCGGCCCUUUUGGGUCAUCCUGGACUGAAUACAUAGGUCCAGUGAAGCGAACGCGGUGAACUGAAACAUCUAAGUAACCGCAGGAAAAGAAAUCAACCGAGAUUCCCAAAGUAGUGGCGAGCGAAAUGGGAUGAGCCUUGCACUCUUUAUUUGUAUUGUUAGCCGAACGCUCUGGAAAGUGCGGCCAUAGCAGGUGAUAGCCCUGUAGGCGAAAACAGUAUGAAAGAACUAGGUGUGCGACAAGUAGGGCGGGACACGUGAAAUCCUGUCUGAAGAUGGGGGGACCAUCCUCCAAGGCUAAAUACUCGUGAUCGACCGAUAGUGAACCAGUACCGUGAGGGAAAGGCGAAAAGAACCCCGGGAGGGGAGUGAAAUAGAUCCUGAAACCGCAUGCAUACAAACAGUCGGAGCCUCGCAAGGGGUGACGGCGUACCUUUUGUAUAAUGGGUCAGCGACUUACGUUCAGUAGCAAGCUUAACCGUAUAGGGCAGGCGUAGCGAAAGCGAGUCCGAAUAGGGCGUUCAGUUGCUGGGCGUAGACCCGAAACCAGGUGAUCUAUCCAUGGCCAGGAUGAAGGUGCGGUAACACGUACUGGAGGUCCGAACCCACUAACGUUGAAAAGUUAGGGGAUGAGCUGUGGAUAGGGGUGAAAGGCUAAACAAACCUGGAAAUAGCUGGUUCUCUCCGAAAACUAUUUAGGUAGUGCCUCGUGUCUCACCUUCGGGGGUAGAGCACUGUCAUGGUUGGGGGGUCUAUUGCAGAUUACCCCGCCAUAGCAAACUCCGAAUACCGAAGAGUGCAAUCACGGGAGACAGACAUCGGGUGCUAACGUCCGGUGUCAAGAGGGAAACAACCCAGACCGCCAGCUAAGGUCCCCAAAUAUAGCUAAGUGGGAAACGAAGUGGGAAGGCUAAAACAGUCAGGAGGUUGGCUUAGAAGCAGCCACCCUUUAAAGAAAGCGUAAUAGCUCACUGAUCGAGUCGUCCUGCGCGGAAGAUGUAACGGGGCUAAGCUAUAUACCGAAGCUGCGGAUGCGUGCUUUGCACGCAUGGUAGGAGAGCGUUCCGUAAGCCUGCGAAGGUGCCUUGUAAAGGGUGCUGGAGGUAUCGGAAGUGCGAAUGCUGACAUGAGUAGCGAUAAAGGGGGUGAAAGGCCCCCUCGCCGUAAGCCCAAGGUUUCCUACGCAACGUUCAUCGGCGUAGGGUGAGUCGGCCCCUAAGGCGAGGCAGAAAUGCGUAGCUGAUGGGAAGCAGGUCAAUAUUCCUGCACCAUUGUUAGAUGCGAUGGGGGGACGGAUCGCGGAAGGUUGUCCGGGUGUUGGAAGUCCCGGUCGCUGCAUUGGAGAAGGCGCUUAGGCAAAUCCGGGCGCGUAAUUCAAGGGUGUGGCGCGAGCUCCUUAGGGAGCGAAGCAAUUGGAAGUGGUUCCAAGAAAAGCCUCUAAGCUUCAGUCUAACGAUGACCGUACCGCAAACCGACACAGGUGGGCGAGAUGAGUAUUCUAAGGCGCUUGAGAGAACUCGGGAGAAGGAACUCGGCAAAUUGGUACCGUAACUUCGGGAUAAGGUACGCCCUUGUAGCUUGACUGGCCUGCGCCAGGAGGGUGAAGGGGUUGCAAUAAACUGGUGGCUGCGACUGUUUAAUAAAAACACAGCACUCUGCAAACACGAAAGUGGACGUAUAGGGUGUGACGCCUGCCCGGUGCCGGAAGAUUAAAUGAUGGGGUGCAAGCUCUUGAUUGAAGUCCCGGUAAACGGCGGCCGUAACUAUAACGGUCCUAAGGUAGCGAAAUUCCUUGUCGGGUAAGUUCCGACCUGCACGAAUGGCGUAACGAUGGCCACACUGUCUCCUCCCGAGACUCAGCGAAGUUGAAGUGUUUGUGAUGAUGCAAUCUACCCGCGGCUAGACGGAAAGACCCCAUGAACCUUUACUGUAGCUUUGCAUUGGACUUUGAACCGAUCUGUGUAGGAUAGGUGGGAGGCUAUGAAACCGGAACGCUAGUUUCGGUGGAGCCGUCCUUGAAAUACCACCCUGGUUUGUUUGAGGUUCUAACCUUGGCCCGUGAUCCGGGUCGGGGACAGUGCAUGGUAGGCAGUUUGACUGGGGCGGUCUCCUCCCAAAGCGUAACGGAGGAGUACGAAGGUACGCUAGGUACGGUCGGAAAUCGUGCUGAUAGUGCAAUGGCAUAAGCGUGCUUAACUGCGAGACCGACAAGUCGAGCAGGUGCGAAAGCAGGUCAUAGUGAUCCGGUGGUUCUGUAUGGAAGGGCCAUCGCUCAACGGAUAAAAGGUACUCUGGGGAUAACAGGCUGAUACCGCCCAAGAGUUCAUAUCGACGGCGGUGUUUGGCACCUCGAUGUCGGCUCAUCUCAUCCUGGGGCUGUAGCCGGUCCCAAGGGUAUGGCUGUUCGCCAUUUAAAGAGGUACGUGAGCUGGGUUUAAAACGUCGUGAGACAGUUUGGUCCCUAUCUGCCGUGGGCGUUGGAUAUUUGAAGGGGGCUGCUCCUAGUACGAGAGGACCGGAGUGGACGAACCUCUGGUGUACCGGUUGUCACGCCAGUGGCAUCGCCGGGUAGCUAUGUUCGGAAGAGAUAACCGCUGAAAGCAUCUAAGCGGGAAACUCGCCUUAAGAUGAGAUAUCCCUGGAGGCUAGACCUCCUUGAAGGGUCGUUCGAGACCAGGACGUUGAUAGGUCAGGUGUGUAAGCGCAGUAAUGCGUUCAGCUAACUGAUACUAAUUGCCCGUAAGGCUUGAUCCU